RNAcentral lists this ribosomal RNA (253 nucleotides) under uncultured bacterium. Its description in RNAcentral is "partial 16S ribosomal RNA". It matches the Rfam family "Bacterial small subunit ribosomal RNA", at positions 524 to 776 of the family's 1533-position model. The record is from RNAcentral.
UGCGUAGGAGACGAGCGUUGACCGGAAUUACUGGGCGUAAAGCGCGUGUAGGCGGAUGAGCAAGUCUGCUGUGAAAGCUCCUGGCUUAACCGGGAGUGGUCGGUGGAAACUGCUCGUCUGGAGGACGGUAGAGGUAGGUAGAAUUCCCGGUGUAGUGGUGAAAUGCGUAGAGAUCGGGAGGAAUACCUGUGGCGAAGGCGGCCUACUGGGCCGGACCUGACGCUGAGACGCGAAGGCGUGGGGAGCGAACGGG